AUGGCGCCGCGGCAAACCUCCAACCCAGCACCACCACCGGAGCCGCCGACCCUUUGAGUCCAAGAUGGGCUGCUCCAGGAAAUAUUCCUCCGCCUCCCCGCCGCCGCCGACCUCGCCCGCGCCUCCACCGCUUGCGCCUCCUUCCCCAAUCCCUUUAUCUCGGCCUAGCCGCCGCACCCCUCUGCCGUCCCAUCCCGCGCCUUCGCCGGCUUCGACUUCUCCUGCUCCUCCUUACUCCCCUCCACCGCCGGCCGCUCCUGGAGUGAAAUUGACUUCUCUGACAGACGGGCCCUCCUUGCGGGCGCCCCGGUCAAAGAGGAAGCCGGCAGCCACUUCCUCGUGGGCGCUGAGCUGUGUGACUCACAGUACAGCCAAUUUUUGGUCAGGGACCUCACCGUGUGCGACCCCGUGCACCGUCGCUACAUCAUGCUACCUUCCGUCCCCGACCACCUGAAAGCUCUGGUCCGUAGACCGGACCUCCUCAGGCUGGAGAGUUUCCUUGCUCCCGGCGAGGAUAAGGCGAACCCUUUAUCAUUCAAAGUGGUGUGCUUGGCACAAUGCAGAAUAAAUCUGCUGAUGAUGGUCUUCUCCUCUUUGGAUGGACAAUGGCACAUUCUUACUUAUGAUCAAUGGAGUGCUCAGGCCAUUGUUGGCUCAUUUGAGAACUCUGAGCCUUGGUUGUCCUAUCGUCGGAACGUCCACAGAUGCUUCUGUUGGCGUUUGCAUUUCAUGAACAAGUUGCUUCUCCUUGACACACACACCAUGGAGUUCUUUGUUGUCAACCUCCCACUUGAACAACCACCGAACCGCAAUUAUGUCAUCGUCGAGGCAUUGGACGGAAUGCUCGGGAUGCUCACUAAAUGCUAUGAUGAGUAAAAAGAAGAUGACCGAUGUUGGCUGACGUACUCAAUUCUAAGAAAUGACCAAUGGUACUUGGACAAGGUCAUCCUCACUACAAAAAAAAAAGACACAUCCGUGACAUUUUGGGCCGAACGAAUUUUUUUUCUGUCAUACAUAUGA
RNAcentral lists this ribosomal RNA (1020 nucleotides) under Triticum aestivum (bread wheat). RNAcentral's name for it is "partial small subunit ribosomal RNA". The record is from RNAcentral. Lineage: Eukaryota; Viridiplantae; Streptophyta; Magnoliopsida; Poales; Poaceae.